CAUCUAGCUAGAUGCGAGCAUCAACGUCUCAGUCGAGCGGAGAUGAGGUGCUUGCACCUUAUCUUAGCGGCGGACGGGUGAGUAAUGCUUAGGAAUCUGCCUAUUAGUGGGGGACAACAUUUCGAAAGGAAUGCUAAUACCGCAUACGCCCUACGGGGGAAAGCAGGGGAUCUUCGGACCUUGCGCUAAUAGAUGAGCCUAAGUCGGAUUAGCUAGUUGGUGGGGUAAAGGCCUACCAAGGCGACGAUCUGUAGCGGGUCUGAGAGGAUGAUCCGCCACACUGGGACUGAGACACGGCCCAGACUCCUACGGGAGGCAGCAGUGGGGAAUAUUGGACAAUGGGGGGAACCCUGAUCCAGCCAUGCCGCGUGUGUGAAGAAGGCCUUUUGGUUGUAAAGCACUUUAAGCGAGGAGGAGGAGCUCUAGAUUAAUACUCUAGAUGCUUGGACGUUACUCGCAGAAUAAGCACCGGCUAACUCUGUGCCAGCAGCCGCGGUAAUACAGAGGGUGCAAGCGUUAAUCGGAUUUACUGGGCGUAAAGCGUGCGUAGGUGGUCUUUUAAGUCGGAUGUGAAAUCCCUGAGCUUAACUUAGGAAUUGCAUUCGAUACUGGGAGACUAGAGUAUGGGAGAGGAUGGUAGAAUUCCAGGUGUAGCGGUGAAAUGCGUAGAGAUCUGGAGGAAUACCGAUGGCGAAGGCAGCCCAUCUGGCCUAAUACUGACACUGAGGUACGAAAGCAUGGGGAGCAAACAGGAUUAGAUACCCUGGUAGUCCAUGCCCGUAAACGAUGUCUACUAGCCCGUUGGGGCCUUUGAGGCUUUAGUGGCGCAGCUAACGCGAUAAGUAGACCGCCCUGGGGAGUACGGUCGCAAGACUAAAACUCAAAUGAAUUGACGGGGGGCCCGCACAAGCGGUGGGAGCAUGUGGGUUUAAUUUCGAUGCACCGCGAAGAACCUUACCCUGGUCUUGGACAUAGUAAGAACUUUCCAGAAAUGGGAU
Molecule: ribosomal RNA, 998 nt
Filed under: Acinetobacter kyonggiensis
Lineage: Bacteria; Pseudomonadati; Pseudomonadota; Gammaproteobacteria; Moraxellales; Moraxellaceae
Description: bacterial SSU rRNA
Rfam family: Bacterial small subunit ribosomal RNA
Source: RNAcentral